GAUUUGUGGCUCAGUGGUAGAGUGCUUGCCUAGUAUGCAUAGGGUACUGGGUUUGAUCCUCAGCACCA
RNAcentral lists this transfer RNA (68 nucleotides) under Marmota monax (woodchuck). RNAcentral's name for it is "tRNA.Thr". The record is from RNAcentral. Lineage: Eukaryota; Metazoa; Chordata; Mammalia; Rodentia; Sciuridae.